RNAcentral lists this ribosomal RNA (603 nucleotides) under uncultured bacterium. RNAcentral's name for it is "bacterial SSU rRNA". It matches the Rfam family "Bacterial small subunit ribosomal RNA", at positions 24 to 669 of the family's 1533-position model. The record is from RNAcentral.
UCAGGAUAAACGCUGGCGGUAUACGUAACACAUGCAAGUCGAACGCAUCCUUCACAAGAUGAGUGGCGGACGGGUGAGUAACGCGUGAGAAUCUGCCUUCAGGACUGGGACAACCACUGGAAACGGUGGCUAAUACCAGAUAUGCAGUGAGUGAAAAGGUUUAUUCCGCCUGAAGAUGAGCUCGCGUCAGAUUAGCUAGUUGGUGAGGUAACGGCUUACCAAGGCAUCGAUCUGUAGCUGGUCUGAGAGGAUGACCAGCCACACUGGGACUGAGAGACGGCCCAGACUCCUACGGGAGGCAGCAGUGAGGAAUUUUCCGCAAUGGGCGCAAGCCUGACGGAGUAAUACCGCGUGCGGGAGGAAGGUCUAUUGACUGUAAACCGCUUUUAUUAAGAAAGAAUUCUGACGGUACUUAAUGAAUAAGCCUCGGCUAACUCCGUGCCAGCAGCCGCGGCAAUACGGAGGAGGCAAGCGUUAUCCGGAAUUAUUGGGCGUAAAGCGUCCGUAGGUGGUUUUGCAAGUCGGCUGUCAAAGCCCGUGGCUCAACCACGGAAAGGCAGUGGAAACUACAAGACUGGAGUGCAGUAGGGGCAGAGGGAAUUC